UUCAAUUGUGAAACUGCCAAAGCGGAAAUUGAAACCACCUGAUGAUUGAUCCAGUUUCAGGGAAGUUCUGUUAGUUUUCUUUCGUUUUUAUUUUAUUUUAGUUCUUUUUCUUUUUCUUGCCUUUUAUGCUUUCUUUGUCUUUGUGUUUUUGUUGUUAGUUUUCCCCACACAAUGAGGACAUUGUGUUGUCUAAGUGUGGGGGAGUUUUUGUGUCUUUUGUCUUGAGUUUGUGUGCUCGUUUUAUUUUGGGGUGUCUUUUUGUGUUUGUUGGUCUAUGGCAACUUUUCAUGCGAGCAUUUUGAUUUGUUAGGAUGAGCAUAUUGAUAUGGAUUGUAUGGUUGUUUUCUUGGAUGAUAUGAAAAUGUGUU
RNAcentral lists this long non-coding RNA (368 nucleotides) under Salvia miltiorrhiza (redroot sage). RNAcentral's name for it is "long non-coding RNA (SMIL_LNC013364)". The record is from RNAcentral. Lineage: Eukaryota; Viridiplantae; Streptophyta; Magnoliopsida; Lamiales; Lamiaceae.